AUUGAACGCUGGCGGCAUGCCUUACACAUGCAAGUCGAACGGUAACGGGCCUUCGGGUGCCGACGAGUGGCGCACGGGUGAGUAAUACAUCGGAACGUGCCCGAUCGUGGGGGAUAACGAGGCGAAAGCUUUGCUAAUACCGCAUACGAUCUACGGAUGAAAGCAGGGGACCGCAAGGCCUUGCGCGGACGGAGCGGCCGAUGGCAGAUUAGGUAGUUGGUGGGAUAAAAGCUUACCAAGCCGACGAUCUGUAGCUGGUCUGAGAGGAUGAUCAGCCACACUGGGACUGAGACACGGCCCAGACUCCUACGGGAGGCAGCAGUGGGGAAUUUUGGACUAUGGGCGCAAGCCUGAUCCAGCCAUGCCGCGUGCAGGAUGAAGGCCUUCGGGUUGUAAACUGCUUUUGUACGGAACGAAAAGCCUUCUUUUAAUACAGGAGGGUCAUGACGGUACCGUAAGAAUAAGCACCGGCUAACUACGUG
This 482-nucleotide ribosomal RNA is filed under the name uncultured bacterium. Its description in RNAcentral is "partial 16S ribosomal RNA". It matches the Rfam family "Bacterial small subunit ribosomal RNA", at positions 30 to 507 of the family's 1533-position model. The record is from RNAcentral.